UAGUACCUUCGGGGCAGGGUGCGGGACAAAAUCCCAAUUCCCGAUCGGUGGUGAUAACCCACGAGCGCGCUCUUGCGCACGAUCUGGUGAAAUUCCAGGGUCGACGGUAUAGUCCGGAUAUAAGAAGGAUCGA
Molecule: non-coding RNA, 133 nt
Filed under: Longilinea arvoryzae
Lineage: Bacteria; Bacillati; Chloroflexota; Anaerolineae; Anaerolineales; Anaerolineaceae
Description: FMN sequence
Rfam family: FMN riboswitch aptamer (RFN element)
About the family: The RFN element is a highly conserved domain that is found frequently in the 5'-untranslated regions of prokaryotic mRNAs that encode for flavin mononucleotide (FMN) biosynthesis and transport proteins. This element is a metabolite-dependent riboswitch that directly binds FMN in the absence of proteins.
Source: Rfam by way of RNAcentral